Molecule: ribosomal RNA, 441 nt
Filed under: uncultured Alphaproteobacteria bacterium
Lineage: Bacteria; Pseudomonadati; Pseudomonadota; Alphaproteobacteria
Description: bacterial SSU rRNA
Rfam family: Bacterial small subunit ribosomal RNA
Source: RNAcentral
CCUACGGGGGGCAGCAGUGGGGAAUAUUGGACAAUGGGCGCAAGCCUGAUCCAGCCAUGCCGCGUGUGUGAUGAAGGCCUUAGGGUUGUAAAGCACUUUCGCCGGUGAAGAUAAUGACGGUAACCGGAGAAGAAGCCCCGGCUAACUUCGUGCCAGCAGCCGCGGUAAUACGAAGGGGGCAAGCGUUGCUCGGAAUCACUGGGCGUAAAGCGCACGUAGGCGGGUCGUUAAGUCAGGGGUGAAAUCCUGGAGCUCAACUCCAGAACUGCCUUUGAUACUGGCGACCUAGAGUUCGAGAGAGGUUGGUGGAACUCCGAGUGUAGAGGUGAAAUUCGUAGAUAUUCGGAAGAACACCAGUGGCGAAGGCGGCCAACUGGCUCGAUACUGACGCUGAGGUGCGAAAGCGUGGGGAGCAAACAGGAUUAGAUACCCCGGUAGUCC